This 1613-nucleotide long non-coding RNA is filed under the name Theobroma cacao (cacao). Its description in RNAcentral is "long non-coding RNA (TCAC_LNC002525)". Lineage: Eukaryota; Viridiplantae; Streptophyta; Magnoliopsida; Malvales; Malvaceae. The record is from RNAcentral.
UAUCCUUUCCCCCAGCAAAUGUUUCUUCCUCUUCAUCCAUGCUCCACGCCAUUCUUGAAGCUUCCAUGCCAUUUUCUCUUUAUCCACCAUGAAAUCAAGUUUUCUUCACUUUCUUUUCCUUUCUUCUCCAAACUUCUUGAGCACUAAAUUUACAGCCUUUAACUCCAAUUUCCAGCACGUCUAAACCCUAGGAGGAGAAGAAAGAAAAAGAGAAAAAGGAAGAAAAAAGCUUGGUUUUGGUGAUUCAAGCAAGGAACGGUAAGAAUUAUUGUUUUUGGUUUGAGUAGUCUUUGAAAAUGAGUUAGUGACUUAGAGAAAUGUCUUGUGGCAGCAAAGAUUGGCUUGAUUGGAGAAAAAUUGAUAACAUGUAAGCCAAUAAACCCAUGGGUACAUGAAGGUCUCAAAGUGGAAAAGGAAAACUGUAAGCUUAAUACUAUGUUUUAAAGCCUACGGUUAGUUGAAUAUUGUGAGGAAUUAUGGUUGUUGAAAGGAUUUAUUUACCUAAGCUAGUUGAAAAUUAUUAAGAUUGUAUGGCAUGUUGUUUGAAAGAAAUGAAAGAGGAAUAUUGUGGAUGGAGAAUUGAGAAACAAAGUAUUGAAAGUUAGAUAGAUAACGAUGCAUGUAAACUAGGAAAUAAUUGAGUGAAAGUGAGAAUGAUUGUUGCUGCUAUAUAUGUGGAUUAUGUGUGGAAAUAUAAGAUGGAUUUGGGAAGAAAUUAUUUAAAAAGGUUAAAGUAGGCAUGUGACAUCAUAAAUAAGUUAUCGGUGAUAUAAUCUAAGAAAUUUCGUAAGCAAUGGAUAUAAGUUAUUUUGGUAAAAAUCUAUUAAGAUGUGAGUUAAUUGAAGAUGAUUUCAUGAUAGGAUGAAAAAUAUAAAUUUGAGUAAGGAUUAAUUGAUUGAAGUGCUACCCGUAUACAGAUGUAAUUAAAUAUAUUGAGUUCAUAUUAUUGCUAGGAAGUGCAAAGAUAAGGUUAAGAACUGUGGUGGCGUGCCAGAGUAAAUAACGAGGGACCGACCAAUGAAAAUAAUUAGAGACACCUCUGAACAAAUAGCGACUUAAUAUAUCGUUGUUUCCAGGUGAGUGAACUUGCAUUAAAAUCUUUUGGAAUAAAUGAUUAUAUGCUUGAUUGAGCCACUUGAAAUAUUUUGUUGGUUUUUCUUUAAAAAUUGCAUGGGAACAAGCCCUUGAUAAAAUGUUUUGAUAUUAUGAGAUAUGAACAUGAUGAAUUCAUGAGUUUCUACAUUAUGUUGAUGUGUAUAUUAUACAUUAAAUGAUACUUUUGUGUGAUAAUUAUGACCCAGCCAUGUGCGGUGUAGGAGUGCACAUGAGCUGUGCUAACCCGGCCAUGUGCGAUGUAGGAGUGCACAUGAGCUGUGCUUACUUGGCCAUGUGUGGUGUAUGAGUACACAUGAGCUGUGCUGACUCGGCCAUGUGCGUGGUGUAUGAGUGCACAUGUGUUGUGCUGACUCGGCCAUGUGCAGUGUAGUGGUGCACAUGAGCUGUGCUGACCCAGCCAUGUGCGGUGUAAGAGUGCAUAUGAGCUGUGCUGACCCAGCUAUGUGCGGUGUGGUAAUGCACAUAAGCUGAGACAGAGUUGGGGGUGAGGCCGGUGG